Long non-coding RNA from Syzygium oleosum, 478 nucleotides. RefSeq lists it as uncharacterized. NCBI's taxonomy places the organism in Eukaryota, Viridiplantae, Streptophyta, Magnoliopsida, Myrtales, Myrtaceae. The record is from RefSeq and is a predicted model, not a curated record. The transcript has 2 exons.
UCGAGGGACAAGUUUCCUGGAAACAGGAGUGCAGUUUGCAUAUGGAUCUACUCUGCUUUAUUUGCUAACUGUCCAUUCGUUGAGGUGUACCCAGUGUAUCUUUGGAUGUUUGCUAACACAUUAUCGUGCGACUUGGAUAGCAUUGCACCGGCAGGGUCUUUCGAGACUGAGCGGGGAAAGAGGUUUCUGACAAAUCCUGCCAAGUCACCCAUAAGUCGAUCCCACAGGAAGACUCUGAUUGAAGCUACAUUUAUCGAGUUUGGUAAACCAUCGUAAUCAGAUUCUCUUUCUGGCUGGUUCAAAGUUGCAAUAGAACUUUUAGAGUCUUCUUGGCUGAAUAAUAUAGACAAUCACUAGAAACGGGCAAGUUUCUUGAAACAAAAAAAUGAUCACUAGAUAACAGAUGGUAUGUUUGUGAACGCGCUGACACCUCGAUCUAUAGAAGUUUACCUGAUGCCGACAGUAUUGAGUUUGGAAA